This 465-nucleotide ribosomal RNA is filed under the name uncultured bacterium. RNAcentral describes it as "partial 16S ribosomal RNA". It matches the Rfam family "Bacterial small subunit ribosomal RNA", at positions 28 to 507 of the family's 1533-position model. The record is from RNAcentral.
GACGAACGCUGGCGGCGUGCUUAACACAUGCAAGUCGAACGGAAAGGCCCCUUUGGGGGUACUCGAGUGGCGAACGGGUGAGUAACACGUGCGUAACCUGCCCUUGACUUCGGGAUAACUUCAGGAAACUGGGGCUAAUACCGGCUAGGAAUCCUCGCUGCAUGGUGGGGGUUGGAAAGCUUCGGCGGUUUUGGAUGGACUCGCGGCUUAUCAGCUUGUUGGUGGGGUAGUGGCUUACCAAGGCUUUGACGGGUAGCCGGCCUGAGAGGGCGACCGGCCACAUUGGGACUGAGGUACGGCCCAGACUCCUACGGGAGGCAGCAGGGGGGAAUAUUGCACAAUGGGCGGAAGCCUGAUGCAGCAACGCCGCGUGCGGGAUGACGGCCUUCGGGUUGGAAACCGCUUUCAGCAGGGGCGAAGCUUGUGGUGACGGUACCUGCAGAAGAAGCACCGGCUAACUACGUG